Molecule: long non-coding RNA, 417 nt
Filed under: Ursus maritimus (polar bear)
Lineage: Eukaryota; Metazoa; Chordata; Mammalia; Carnivora; Ursidae
Description: lncRNA (ENSUMAG00000004566.1)
Source: RNAcentral
CGGGGGUGGGGGUUGGUGAUGACUGAGCUCCCUGGUCACCCUGGCAGCCUGGAGGCCCCGGCAAGCGCCUGUGACGGGACAGCAACAGGAACUGAUGAAGCGGUGCCCCGUUUGUCCACAGGAAGAGCCCAGCAGCCAUGUGGGCAAUCAGGCUCCACGUAGGGCGGGGCAGGGAGCUGGCUGUCAUGCCGGAAGCCGUCUGCGGCAGAAUGAGGAGGCUUCCCCAAGGCUCCGGCUGUCAUUCAGCACAAAGAAACAAACCAGCCAACCAAGUCCGCAGACUACUCCGUGACCACUGCCCCUCACUUCCCCUGUGGACACACUGCUCCUUCCCGGGGCAAUAACGCCACCCUCGCGGCUCCCAGGUAAUUCCUAAGCCCGGAGAGAAACUGCGCUGGGCGUGGGUCAGCGCUCGGC